Molecule: ribosomal RNA, 305 nt
Filed under: uncultured bacterium
Lineage: Bacteria
Description: bacterial SSU rRNA
Rfam family: Bacterial small subunit ribosomal RNA
Source: RNAcentral
GUGACCUACGGGGGGCAGCAGUGGGGAAUUUUGGACAAUGGGCGCAAGCCUGAUCCAGCUAUUCCGCGUGUGGGAAGACGGCCUUCGGGUUGUAAACCACUUUUGUAGAGAACGAAAAGUCUGUUGAUAAUACCGACAGAUGAUGACGGUACUCUAAGAAUAAGCACCGGCUAACUACGUGCCAGCAGCCGCGGUAAUACGUAGGGUGCGAGCGUUAAUCGGAAUUACUGGGCGUAAAGGGUGUGCAGGCGGUUUUGCAAGCUGGAUGUGAAAGACCCGGGCUUAACCUGGGAAAGCCAUACAUU